AUUGAACGCUGGCGGCAGGCUUAACACAUGCAAGUCGAGCGGGGGAAGGUAGCUUGCUACCGGACCUAGCGGCGGACGGGUGAGUAAUGCUUAGGAAUCUGCCUAUUAGUGGGGGACAACAUCUCGAAAGGGAUGCUAAUACCGCAUACGUCCUACGGGAGAAAGCAGGGGAUCUUCGGACCUUGCGCUAAUAGAUGAGCCUAAGUCGGAUUAGCUAGUUGGUGGGGUAAAGGCCUACCAAGGCGACGAUCUGUAGCGGGUCUGAGAGGAUGAUCCGCCACACUGGGACUGAGACACGGCCCAGACUCCUACGGGAGGCAGCAGUGGGGAAUAUUGGACAAUGGGGGGAACCCUGAUCCAGCCAUGCCGCGUGUGUGAAGAAGGCCUUAUGGUUGUAAAGCACUUUAAGCGAGGAGGAGGCUACUUUAGUUAAUACCUAGAGAUAGUGGACGUUACUCGCAGAAUAAGCACCGGCUAACUCUGUGCCAGCAGCCGCGGUAAUACAGAGGGUGCGAGCGUUAAUCGGAUUUACUGGGCGUAAAGCGUGCGUAGGCGGCUUAUUAAGUCGGAUGUGAAAUCCCCGAGCUUAACUUGGGAAUUGCA
RNAcentral lists this ribosomal RNA (603 nucleotides) under Acinetobacter baumannii OIFC143. RNAcentral's name for it is "bacterial SSU rRNA". It matches the Rfam family "Bacterial small subunit ribosomal RNA", at positions 28 to 625 of the family's 1533-position model. Lineage: Bacteria; Pseudomonadati; Pseudomonadota; Gammaproteobacteria; Moraxellales; Moraxellaceae. The record is from RNAcentral.